RNAcentral lists this long non-coding RNA (750 nucleotides) under Danio rerio (zebrafish). RNAcentral describes it as "lncRNA (ENSDARG00000117378.1)". The record is from RNAcentral. Lineage: Eukaryota; Metazoa; Chordata; Actinopteri; Cypriniformes; Danionidae.
GCUGCAGUGGCCAAUCAGAGGGCUGGAAGAGCCUCUACCUGAGAAGGUAUCAGCCGUGUGUGUGCGGAUCUGUGAAGCUGCUGAGAGAGUGUGUGUGUGUGUGCAGUCUCUCGGACCACUCUCACCCCGAAAAAUCCCUCUUAAUACCGAAUAACAGCCCAGAGCGCACUGAUUAUGGAGAUUAAAUGUGUUCUCGUGCUCUGUUGCGCCUGCCUGUGCGCGUUCACCGGCGCGCAGACACACAAAGAGAAGAUUUUCGCGAAAGUUGUGGAUCUGGUGUCUCCAGGUGAGGAGUACCUGUCUGAAGAUGCGCUGGUGUCGGUGUUUGAGCGGCUGGAGAACCGUGUGCAGUGCUCCGGUGUGUCGUGUGGAAAGUGUCUAUCAGUGGAGGAUCUGCAGCAGGUCUUGAGGAACUACAACAGUUCUCAGGGUGUCCAGUUGCAGGAUUUCUUCACGUUGACUCAUGCAUGCUGUUUAUUUCUGAGCGAUCCGAUCGAGACCUGUAAAGCCAUACGAGAUGGCCGAUGGGGAACAGAGACGCAAAACUUCAUCGAAUACCUCUAUGGCCACAAUCACGAUCAUAACUUCACCACCGAUUAUCCUCCUCAUGGAGACCUCACUGAAUAUGAGGGUGUGGAGAAGAUGUUUUACGAUAUGGAGGAGCACUAUCAGCCUGACACUCAGCAGGUUAGAACAACUGCUUUGUUAAUAUUAUUAUACACCGUUAGCAAAACUGUAAUAACACAGUGA